Molecule: long non-coding RNA, 388 nt
Filed under: Androctonus crassicauda
Lineage: Eukaryota; Metazoa; Arthropoda; Arachnida; Scorpiones; Buthidae
Source: RNAcentral
CUCAGAUUAUGUAUUAUUAUAGCACUACUGAUAAGGUCUUGAGUAGAGCCAUUAAAGAUGGGAACUGUAAGAUGGCCAGAAAAAGAGGUCUCAUGAUUUUUGCAUUGCUUCGCAAUGAAAAGGACCCAAUCCACCUGAUAGAAGGACAUUAUUAUACACUGGUGUCUACUCUGAACCAGUGUAUAAUAAUGAUGAGAACUGUAGACAAUAUUAUGUAGAGAGCACUACAAGAUGCCUGAAUAAAAGGCUGCAAGAGCAUAAAGCAGAUAUUCAUACGGGAAGACUAACAACGAUGCUUGCACUUAGCCUAUGAACAAGAUGUCAAUAUUAAGUGGGAUGAAAUGUGUAUAGUACAACCUUGAUCAGAUCCGAGAGGUGUUUCUACCCU